UUCAUUUUAAGGAAUAGUUUCAUUAAAAAUAGCUGGAGAUAUUAAAAAGUGCCAUUUAACCUCUUGUGAUCUUACUCUCAACAAAGUUUCAACAUUGAAGCAAAGCAUUUAUGUUUAUGUUAUAAAGUAGCAUGAUUAAUAUAACCCAGUAAGUGAAGUGUUUUGAGUGUCUGCUUUGUGCUUGCUACAGGCCAUUGACAACUAUCAACUAUGAUUCUAUACCUCAAGGAGUUUUUAGUUUAGCUCUGCACAAAAUCACACAAUACUUGUCGAUCAAUAAUGAAUGCCCUAUGGUAAUAGCUUCUUUUGAAUGGAGAUUUUGAAAAUGAGAUCAAUGAGGAGUGGAGUGCAGUACCCGGAAGACCUCCUGCAAGAGAUGGUGCUUAAGCUGCAUUUUGAAGACUAGGGUAUCUCCAUUUGGACCAGCCAUGUUUCAAAUGCUUGAUGGCAGCAUGUGGCGAGUGCUAUGCUAUGUUGGACAAGGCAGAUUUAGAGAAUAGGAAGGGGUCCAACUUUCAGCAAAACAUGUAGUGAGGCAAGAAUAAAGGUAUCCUGUUUCAGGAGCUGAAAUUGCAAACUUUAGCCCCUGUCGAGAAUACAGUCUCACUAUUUUUUGUCUACACUGUCAACAUGAGUUCUCUCCAGGCUCUUGGUUUCAGCUCAGAAACUCAGGAUGCAGCUGGUUUGGACAUGGGACACAGGAGAGACUCUUCUGGCCAAAGACAACAGGAGUGUGUGCAG
Long non-coding RNA from Gorilla gorilla gorilla (western lowland gorilla), 741 nucleotides. RefSeq lists it as uncharacterized. The transcript has 3 exons. Lineage: Eukaryota; Metazoa; Chordata; Mammalia; Primates; Hominidae. The record is from RefSeq and is a predicted model, not a curated record.